GGGCCGCACCUACAGUAGGAGGUGGGAGCCGGAGUCCUGGGCUGCACCUGCCACUCCGCCAGGCACUCGCGGUCCCGGUAGGCCUGCUCGCCUUCCUGGGCUCAGGUGGCCCACGCCGCUCUGGGUUCCUCCUCAGGAGAAAGACUGUCACAGACACCAUAUGACCAUCAUCAUGGCAGCACCCAUACCCAACUAUGCAGUGAGCUGGAAGAUUGGAGCAGCAGGAGGAUGACCAGUGCCUCCCAUGUUCCCUCCUCCUAGAGCUGGCCAGAGAGAGAUGGUAGCCGAGGAAAGCUCCAGGAAAAACAAAACAGGGAAGGUGGUGGACACAGGCGAAUUUGAAGGGUGGCCUUGAAAAGAUGCAAGGUUAGAUGUCGAUGUAUUUGUGGAAACCCUAUUGGAAGUUACUAGUGCAGGGACAAGGAAGGAACAACGCCCCAGCAACCUCAGAGGAAGUAGGAGGGACACCUUGCCCUGUCUCCUCAGCUCCCAGAGUCCAGAAGUACUUGAAGUCAAUGUCCCUCAGGCUUCAGGUGCUUUAACUGGCCGCUGAUGGGUGACUCAAGGACUCCACAUCAGUUUAACUUCCUGUUUAGAGUAAAUAGCCAGUGUUGUGUCCCUUGCAA
This is a long non-coding RNA of Mesocricetus auratus (golden hamster), 626 nucleotides long. RefSeq lists it as uncharacterized. The record is from RefSeq and is a predicted model, not a curated record. Lineage: Eukaryota; Metazoa; Chordata; Mammalia; Rodentia; Cricetidae. The transcript has 2 exons.